GCUUACUGAAGCUGUUGUCAAUUGUGUUUCAGAACUUACAAGUAUUCCUGACCCAGCUUUGAGCAGUUUACAGCGUCGUCACAUUUUCCAUCUGAAAAUCCAGGCAGAAGAGCAUGUUUACAAUAGUUCCAUUAGAAAUAGCCUGAGAAAGUCUUCAGUGGGAGGGAUCCAAAACUCAGCUCCUGAAGACCCUAGAAAGGGUUUUUGGUGGAUGGCACAGCCCUCAACCAACCUGCUCAGCUAUAGCUGAGAGAUGAGGGCCCGCUGGUUUUGACAUCAAGUUGGCUAACCUUUAUGGUGAUGUGACUCAGCCAAUUGAAAACCGUCAAUUACUUUGCCUAAAUUAGAAAGUAAACUAGGAAGAUGUUUCCUGUAUAUGUAGCUGGUCAACGCAUCCGCACAGCUGAAGACUGCAUAGAAUCAGUGAGGAUUUUUUGUCUAAUAUUGAUGGACAGAUGGUUCAUGUUGGAGACAUGAAGAAAAUGUGCAAAAGCGGUUUAUCCAUGUAAACAUACAGCCCUCAGACUGCUGCGAUAGGACAGCAAGACCUAUUUUGAUCUGGGAUUGGAUUCACUGGGACACAUCCCAUUUCCACUGCAAUUUGUAAACUAAUGUUUUGUUUCUUCAGAAGAUAUGUUCCAGACAAGUACUUGCCAUCCUUAAGUUGCCUCUUGUCCUUGUUUCCUAAUUGUUUGAUGGUAUUAAUGGAAGCAAAAAGAACAUUCAAGAUACCCUCUUGGUACUUCUCUACAUUUCAGGACCUGCUCGUUUGACUGCUCGUUUUCCAGAAGAAAUGAGGAAAUAGUUUUCUAUGAAUGCAUUUCUCCGUUAUUUUAGCCCUAAACAAGGCCAUGAGCUGUGCUAUUGCAGAAAAUGUGAAUGCAAGGACUAUGGAAAUAUUGGAUAUUGGAGAGUCUCUUUCUUUGGAAGACUCAUGAAUCGUUGGCACUCUGCUAUAACUCUGUUUGGACCUCCUUCACCUAGAUUCUGGUAUUCUCUCCCUAAACUGGCUAUAGUGACCAGCAUAUAGGAAGAAUAGUCCCACAAAUGUGAUCUGUGCACAGCUUUUUUUCCCCAUAUGAGCCCAAAGAAUGACACAUUUAUGUCUGGCUUCUGAGAAGUGGCAUUAAACCCAUCUCGUUGCACUGGCUGGCAAGAUCCUUGGCUCCUUCAACCUGGAGGGGGAUGCAGUGAGUCUGCAGUGAUACAGAAAUCCACGUGGGAUCCUUGACCUCUUCUGCUGCCCAAAGCCACAAGAGAGGAGAUAUCUUCUGCAUAGCCUGUUUCCAGCCGUGAAUGUGCAUAAUCAAGGAAUUACACUGAGAUUUGCUCCCAUUCCAUGGAAGACUCAGAGCAAAACAUCACUGGUUCUUCAGAGUAACCUUCUCUUGUACUGCGCUUCACAUCAUGUACUACUUAAAUCUGAACAUACACACUUUCAGAGUCAAGGCUUUGCAAGCUGUGGCAACAGUGGUGAGUUCAAACAAUUCCCACACAGUGAAAAUACAGCUGGAGGCAAUGGAUUUUCUACUGAGGGCACAGAAGACACAAGCACUCUGGUAACAAAGAAUUUCAGAGGGGCCAAAGGAACCUCAGUGCAUACUCUCCAAUCUAUGUCAACCGUGUUGCAAAGAUUCCCAUCCUAAAAUUAACCAACUCACUAUGAAGCCAUGGACAGUGCAGAAAGGCAGAGAUAUUGAAGGUCAGUUCAGCACUGCGGUGAAGCAGCUCUCCUGCUCCUGGUGCUGGUGCUAAUGCAUGUGGGUCACUAGGGCUAUCUCUGCACUGCUGCCAAGGUUAAGCCUGUUCAUGGUUCUCUGCACCUGUGAAGUAAACCUUUUUUCUCUGAAAACUCCUUUUUUGCCUUCUCAGACAAUGAGCAUGGAAAAAGUGAGACAGUAUGGGAGCAGCUGCAAAGGGAAUCCAAGCUCAGCUAGGAGAAGGUUUAUGUGGCUGGCUAUGAGGGUGCAGGAAAUUCAGGCAACUUUCAUUUGGAAAGGACAAGCAAAAUCUCUCCAUGUCAGAACUUUAGAGUUUUCUUUUAUAUGCUGCCUUGUGCUUCAUGUAAUAAAAUCCAGACCACAUAUGGGACCAAAUCCUGCAGUUGUCAUUGUCUUACAAGUCCUAUUCAAACUUUGACUAGCCAUUAGGUGCUCCCCUGACAAAGAUAAAAUCCUUGUGUUCCAAAUUUUCUGAAGUGUCUUUCAUUAGAAUAAACAUCUCCUGCCCAGUAGCUGAAGAAUGUUCAGCAUAAAGAGCCUUUGUCAGGGAUGGAGCACAGCAGAGCUUCCCGAGGAUUUCUUUCCACUCUGAAACUGAGGUGGGUCUGUCCUCCCUACUCAUUUUAAUUUGUUCAUUUUUCCUAGGAAACAAAUACUGCUCUGGUUUUCAUUUCCUACAGGUGCUUGACUAUCUUGGAGUCUGGAGCUGAGGGAAAGAUUGUUAUCCCUAAUGGUGUUGCCUUUUAUCAUCAACACUGGCUGGUAGUACAGAAGAGUAGUACAUCAGCAAAAUGUACAAAAGCCACUUCUGCACACAUAGUCCACAUGGACUAUUCAGCAACAGAAGUUGUGCAGGACUUCCGAUGUGUUCCCCACUUAUUCUCUCUGAAAUAUUUCUUAGUACAUUUGAAAUAUGUUUUCACUUUUAAAAUCUGACAUUUUACAAAUAAAAUAGAGUGGUAUCUGCCCAAAUAGUUCUUAUUGUAAGGCAGCACUAGUAUUGCUUCACUGUUAAUAUCUUUUCCAGCUCUCUUCUCUUCUCUUCUCUUCUCUCUCUCUUCUCUUCUCUUCUCUUCUCUUCCCUCCUUCUCCCCUCUGUUGCUCAAGAAGCUCAUGGCUCUGUCACUGGGAUCUAUUUUAGAACUACCAAUGCUGAGGAUAGGAAAGCACAUCUCUGUAGCCAGGAACAAAGUACCUAAUUCCUGAAGGAGGCUGUUUUAUAUAUGCCCCUAGAGAUGACUACCUCAGACAUUGUUUAAUAACUCCAGAAGGCACUGAAGAUCCCUUUCCUACCAGGGAGCUGGUUCACAUACAUCUUUCCUCAGGUGCCAGUUUGUCCUUGAGAUUUCUAAAUGAAUGUUACAGAAACUACUUCAGUUUCUCUAAAGUGCUUACAUCACAGAUAUGAUUGUUUCUGACACAGCACAAGAAAAAAUCUCACACAAAAAUAAAAGACCUGAAAAAGUGUAUUUUUACAAACUGGCUUGCAGAAAUAAAAGAAAAGAAUACCCUGUAAAUCCAUCUAAAAGACAUCAUAGUAGUAAUGCAACUUCACUGUUUUCCAACUACUUUGAGAUUGAAUUGGGCUUUUGGCAAUUUAAUAACUUGAGCAAACAACUCUAAACUAGUCUUAGCUUUCUCCCCCACACACACUUCUUUAAAUAAAGUUUAACUUGUAAUAUGGAAUGUGAAUUGUUUGGACUGUUAAAUCAUUCCAACUCAAAACCCACUCAUCAUAAAUGUGUUGAAAGAAGAAUAUAUUUCAGUACUGCGGCAGACUUUGAGUACA
This is a non-coding RNA of Meleagris gallopavo (turkey), 3510 nucleotides long. Lineage: Eukaryota; Metazoa; Chordata; Aves; Galliformes; Phasianidae. The record is from RefSeq and is a predicted model, not a curated record.